CUCCAGACUCCUACGGGAGGCAGCAGUGGGGGAUAUUGCACAAUGGGGGGAACCCUGAUGCAGCGACGCCGCGUGGGUGAAGGAGCGUUUCGGCGCGUAAAGCCCUAUCGGCAGGGAAGAAGGAGGACGGUACCUGACUAAGAAGCCCCGGCUAACUACGUGCCAGCAGCCGCGGGAAUACGUAGGGGGCAAGCGUUAUCCGGAUUUACUGGGUGUAAAGGGAGCGUAGACGGCGAUGCAAGUCUGAAGUGAAAGGCGGGGGCCCAACCCCCGGACUGCUCUUGGAACUGCGCGGCUGGAGUGCAGGAGGGGCAGGCGGAAUUCCUGGUGUAGCGGUGAAAUGCGUAGAUAUCAGGAGGAACACCGGUGGCGAAGGCGGCCUGCUGGACUGCGACUGACGUUGAGGCCCGAAAGUGUGGGGAGCAAACAGGAUUAGAUACCCGUGUA
Molecule: ribosomal RNA, 447 nt
Filed under: uncultured bacterium
Lineage: Bacteria
Description: partial 16S ribosomal RNA
Rfam family: Bacterial small subunit ribosomal RNA
Source: RNAcentral